Molecule: non-coding RNA, 29 nt
Filed under: Mus musculus (house mouse)
Lineage: Eukaryota; Metazoa; Chordata; Mammalia; Rodentia; Muridae
Source: RNAcentral
ACUCAAGUUCUUUGAAACCUGAAUGGUAA